Molecule: long non-coding RNA, 284 nt
Organism: Catharus ustulatus (Swainson's thrush)
Lineage: Eukaryota; Metazoa; Chordata; Aves; Passeriformes; Turdidae
Exons: 3
Source: RefSeq, a predicted model, not a curated record
CCACACUGUUGAGAGAUUGUGGCUUCUGAGCACAUCGCUGAGGUUGUCACAAUGACCAAAAAUGUCAAACUCAUACUCAGAAUCUUGGUGGAUCUCAGUGAAAGAAACACAAAACCAGAUUUUGGAAAUCCAGGAGUCUGCUGAGGUAGACUGAUCAAAUUCUGCCCAAAUCUGCUUUCUUCCCUGCAUCUGCUCUCAGCUGACAUAAAUCAACAAAACAGAGAAGGUUGUUGAUGAGAUGGACAAGCUGGUUCCGAGUCAACUUUAAUAAAGCAUAACUUGAG